This is a long non-coding RNA of Vidua chalybeata, 207 nucleotides long. RefSeq lists it as uncharacterized. The record is from RefSeq and is a predicted model, not a curated record. NCBI's taxonomy places the organism in Eukaryota, Metazoa, Chordata, Aves, Passeriformes, Viduidae. The transcript is spliced from 3 exons.
GGACUCCUCUUCAGACCCAGAGACAAAUGGAAUCAGAAAGACCAGGACAUUCCUAAACGGAGAAGACAGAAGAAAAUCUGAGGAGGAAGAUGACACACGCACAUCCAUGCUAUCAACAGCUGUUGCUGGUGCUGCUGCUGAGAAGAGGCAGCAGGAGAGGAGGAGGAAGAAGACUCUUCAGCCAUCUUCACAUCGAGUCCAAUAAAA